AGCUCUCGCGGCAGUCGCCUUAGACUAAAGGGUGUUGCUUGGCCGCCGCCUGGUAGUCCGGCGAUUAGUUUCUUGCUCGGCCUCCUGGAGCUGUGGUCCGUGUGGGCUUCCACCUCAGACACUUGCGCUGGCUCAGCGGGGCCGGAACAUGGCUGCGUCGGGUCUGGAUCAUCUCAAAAAUGGCUACAGAAGAAGAUUUUGUAGACCUUCCAGGGCACGUGACCUUAACACAGAGCAAGGCCAGAAUGUUCUGGAAAUCUUACAAGACUGUUUUGAAGAAAAAAGUCUUGCCAAUGAUUUUAGUACAAAUUCUACAAAAUCAGUGCCUAAUUCAACACGCAAAAUAAAAGACACUCGUAUUCAGUCACCAAGCAAAGAGUGCCAGAAAUCACAUUCAAAGUCAGUUCCAGUUUCUUCAAGGAAUAAAGAAGCCUCUCUGCAGUCUGUUGUAGAAUCAAGUGAAGCCACAAACAGAUCAGUGCAGGCCCAUGAAGUUCGUCAGAAAAUUCUGGCAACUGGUGUUAGUUCCAAAAAUACACCUGACUCAAAAAAAAAGUCAAGUAGAAACAUAAAUGAUCAUCACAGUGAAGCUGAUGAAGAAUUUUACUUAUCUGUUGGCUCACCUUCUGUUCUUUUGGAUGCAAAAACAUCUGUAUCGCAAAAUGUUAUUCCAUCUAGUGCCCAAAAGAGAGAGACUUACACUUUUGAAAAUUCAGUAAAUAUGCUGCCUUCAAGUACAGAGGUUUCAGUUAAAACCAAAAAAAGGUUAAACUUUGAUGAUAAAGUUAUGUUAAAGAAAAUAGAAAUAGAUAAUAAAGUAUCAGAUGAAGAGGAUAAAACAUCAGAAGGACAAGAAAGAAAACCAUCAGGAUCAUCUCAGAAUAGAAUACGAGAUUCAGAAUAUGAAAUUCAACGACAAGCUAAAAAAAGUUUUUCAACAUUGUUUUUAGAAACAGUAAAACGAAAAAGUGAAUCCAGUCCCAUUGUUAGGCAUGUGGCAACUGCUCCACCUCAUUCGUGUCCUCCCGAUGAUACGAAGUUGAUAGAGGAUGAAUUUAUAAUUGAUGAGUCAGAUCAAAGUUUUGCCAGUAGAUCUUGGAUUACAAUACCAAGAAAGGCAGGGCCUCUGAAACAACGCACAGUAUCCCCGGCUGAGAGCACUGCACUCCUUCAAGGCAGAAAGUCAAGAGAAAAGCAUCAUAAUAUAUUACCUAAGACUCUGGCAAAUGACAAACAUUCCCAUAAACCUCACCCAGUAGAGACAUCUCAGCCCUCUGAUAAAACAGUACUGGAUACAAGUCAUGCUUUGAUAGGUGAAACAGAAAAUAAUUAUAGAUCUACAAAAUAUGAAAUGUAUUCCAAGAAUGCAGAAAAACCAUCUAGAAGCAAAAGGACUAUAAAACAAAAACAGAGAAGAAAAUUUAUGGCUAAACCAGCUGAAGAACAGCUUGAUGUGGGGCAGUCUAAAGAUGAAAACAUACAUACAUCACAUAUUACCCAAGACGAAUUUCAAAGAAAUUCAGACAGAAAUAUGGAAGAGCGUGAAGAGAUGGGAAAUGAUUGUGUUUCCAAAAAACAGAUGCCACCUGUGGGAAGCAAGAAAAGUAGCACUAGAAAAGAUAAGGAAGAAUCUAAAAAGAAGCGCUUUUCCAGUGAGUCCAAGAACAAACUUGUACCUGAAGAAGUGACUUCAACUGUCACUAGAAGUCGAAGAAUUUCCAGGCGUCCAUCUGAUUGGUGGGUGGUAAAAUCAGAGGAGAGUCCUGUUUAUAGCAAUUCUUCAAUAAGAAAUGAAUUACCAGUGCCUCACAACAGUAGGCAAAAAUCGGCUAAGAAAACAAAAGAGUCAUCUAAGAAUAUUAGGAAAAAAACUAUUCCACUUAAAAGGCAGAAGACAGCAACUAAAGGCAACCAAAGAAUACAGAAGUUGUUAAAUGCUGAAGGUUCUGGAGUUAUCGUUGGUCAUGAUGAAAUUUCCAGAUGUUCGCUGAGUGAGCCAUUGGAAAGUGAUGAGGCAGACUUGGCUAAGAAGAAAAAUCUUGAUUGUUCUAGAUCUACAAGAAGCUCAAAGAAUGAAGAUGAUAUUAUGACUGCACAGAAUGUUCCCCUAAAGCCUCAGACCAGUGGAUAUACAUGUAAUAUACCAACAGAGUCAAACUUGGAUCCUGGAGAGCAUAAGACUUCAGUUUUAGAGGAAAGUGGACCUUCCAGGCUCAAUAAUAAUUAUUUAAUGUCUGGAGAGAAUGAUGUGGAUGAUGAGGAAGUUCAUGGAAGUUCAGAUGACUCAAAACAAUCUAAAGUGAUACCAAAGAACAGAAUCCAUCACAAACUAGUAUUGCCCUCCAACACACCAAAUGUUCGCAGGACCAAGAGAACACGUUUGAAACCUUUGGAGUACUGGCGAGGAGAGCGAAUAGAUUAUCAAGGAAGGCCAUCAGGUAAAACUUAUUUAUGUUUUAAUGUCUGUCAAUAAAAAAUUUGUUUACUACGUGCCAGACACUGCACUACAUGUUUAUAUACAUUACCUUACUUAAUCAUCACCCCCCCAAAUUUUGAUAAUAGGAUUUAAAUUCAUUUUUGUCUGAUUAAUGUAGAGAUGCUGAUAUUUUCUCUUUGGUAGCUGAAUGUUGUUAUUCCUGUAUCAUCUGACAAGAUUUCCAAUUGCAUAAAAUAAAGCAUUAGAUUAGAACGUGAGAAAAUUGUAACUGGUAAAGGUAAAGUAGUUUUCAUUAUUUUUCCUAUUAACCAUUUUCCAUUUUCUCAUAGUUUUCUACAAAGUAGUGUAGGGUGGGCAAGAAAGUAUAGUGUUAAUCUUAGAGUUAUUUUCUUUCUUAUUUUUGUAGAGAUGAGGCCUUGCUAUGUUGUCCAGGCUGGUCUCGAUCUUAUGGGCUCAAGCAGUCCUCCUGCUUUGGCAUCUC
This 2918-nucleotide small RNA is filed under the name Pongo abelii (Sumatran orangutan). RNAcentral describes it as "retained intron". Lineage: Eukaryota; Metazoa; Chordata; Mammalia; Primates; Hominidae. The record is from RNAcentral.